This 186-nucleotide ribosomal RNA is filed under the name uncultured Bacteroidota bacterium. RNAcentral's name for it is "uncultured Bacteroidetes bacterium partial 16S ribosomal RNA". It matches the Rfam family "Bacterial small subunit ribosomal RNA", at positions 120 to 306 of the family's 1533-position model. The record is from RNAcentral. Lineage: Bacteria; Pseudomonadati; Bacteroidota.
UGCAAUCUACCUUUUACAGGGGGAUAGCCCAGAGAAAUCCGGAUUAAUACCGCAUAAAAUCACAGUAUUGCAUAAUACAAUGAUCAAACAUUUAUGGGAUGAAGAUGGGCAUGCGUGUCAUUAGCUAGUUGGCGGGGUAACGGCCCACCAAGGCGACGAUGACUAGGGGAUCUGAGGGGAUGACCC